RNAcentral lists this ribosomal RNA (443 nucleotides) under uncultured bacterium. Its description in RNAcentral is "partial 16S ribosomal RNA". It matches the Rfam family "Bacterial small subunit ribosomal RNA", at positions 338 to 795 of the family's 1533-position model. The record is from RNAcentral.
CCUACGGGAGGCAGCAGUGGGGAAUAUUGGGCAAUGGGCGCAAGCCUGACCCAGCAACGCCGCGUGAAGGAAGAAGGCUUUCGGGUUGUAAACUUCUUUUAUCAGGGACGAAGCAAGAGACGGUACCUCAUGAAUAAGCCACGGCUAACUACGUGCCAGCAGCCGCGGUAAUACGUAGGUGGCAAGAGUUAUCCGGAUUUACUGGGUGUAAAGGGAGUGUAGGCGGGAGUGCAAGUCAGAUGUGAAAACUAUGGGCUCAACACAUAGCCUGCAUUUGAAACUGGACUUCUUGAGUGCUGGAGAGGCAAGCGGAAUUCGGGGUGUAGCGGUGAAAUGCGUAGAUAUACGGAGGAACACCAGUGGCGAAGGCGGAUUGCUGGACAGUAACUGACGCUGAGGCGCGAAAGCGUGGGGAGCAAACAGGAUUAGAUACCCUGGUAGUC